This 497-nucleotide ribosomal RNA is filed under the name uncultured bacterium. Its description in RNAcentral is "bacterial SSU rRNA". It matches the Rfam family "Bacterial small subunit ribosomal RNA", at positions 10 to 507 of the family's 1533-position model. The record is from RNAcentral.
AGUUUGAUCCUGGCUCAGGAUGAACGCUAGCGGCAGGCUUAACACAUGCAAGUCGAGGGGGUAUAGUUCUUCGGAACUAGAGACCGGCGCACGGGUGCGUAACGCGUAUGCAAUCUACCUUUUGCAGAGGGAUAGCCCAGAGAAAUUUGGAUUAAUACCUCAUAGUAUGUGAGAAUGGCAUCAUUUUCACAUUAAAGUCACAACGGCAAAAGAUGAGCAUGCGUCCCAUUAGCUUGUUGGUAAGGUAACGGCUUACCAAGGCUACGAUGGGUAGGGGUCCUGAGAGGGAGAUCCCCCACACUGGUACUGAGACACGGACCAGACUCCUACGGGAGGCAGCAGUGAGGAAUAUUGGACAAUGGGCGCAAGCCUGAUCCAGCCAUGCCGCGUGCAGGAUGACGGUCCUAUGGAUUGUAAACUGCUUUUGUACAGGAAGAAACACUGGUUCGUGAACCAGCUUGACGGUACUGUAAGAAUAAGGAUCGGCUAACUCCGUG